Molecule: long non-coding RNA, 349 nt
Filed under: Amborella trichopoda
Lineage: Eukaryota; Viridiplantae; Streptophyta; Magnoliopsida; Amborellales; Amborellaceae
Description: long non-coding RNA (ATRI_LNC003748)
Source: RNAcentral
UGAAAUUUUAGAUCCACAAUCCAUCUUCAAUACAGAUUUUGGAAGGACAGUGUGGCCCCGGAUAAUAGGACCUAGAUUGAGGGCAUAGAACGGGCUCCCAUACAACUGAGGUGCAUGCAGCCACAUCAAUUGAAACAAUGUGAGCAAAGGUAAUAUAAGCUGGCAGACAAAUGGGGACAAAAGCAAGCAAUAGAAACAUCCAUGUAGAAAGUGGAACAAAAUUGAUAUGGACAUAUAUGACUACCAUGCUAAUCAGAUAGAAUCCAUAAAGAAAUAUUAGAGGGUUCCAAGUAAAUCAUGUAUUCGGUUAUUUGAAAAUAUACCAAUACAAAAUAGAAGUAUUGAGGAA